RNAcentral lists this ribosomal RNA (253 nucleotides) under uncultured bacterium. RNAcentral describes it as "partial 16S ribosomal RNA". It matches the Rfam family "Bacterial small subunit ribosomal RNA", at positions 524 to 776 of the family's 1533-position model. The record is from RNAcentral.
UACGGAGGGUGCAAGCGUUAUCCGGAUUUACUGGGUUUAAAGGGUGCGUAGGUGGGUCUGUAAGUCAGUGGUGAAAUCUCCGAGCUUAACUCGGAAACUGCCAUUGAUACUAUAGGUCUUGAAUUAUCUGGAGGUAAGCGGAAUAUGUCAUGUAGCGGUGAAAUGCUUAGAUAUGACAUAGAACACCAAUUGCGAAGGCAGCUUACUACGGAUAUAUUGACACUGAGGCACGAAAGCGUGGGGAGCAAACGGG